CCCUUAGAUGUCCUGGGCCGCACGCGCGCUACACUGAUGCAUUCAACGAGUUUUACCUUGGCCGAGAGGCCUGGGCAAUCUUUUAAACCUGCAUCGUGAUAGGGAUAGAUUAUUGCAAUUAUUAAUCUUGAACGAGGAAUUCCUAGUAAACGCAAAUCAUCAAUUUGCAUUGAUUACGUCCCUGCCCUUUGUACACACCGCCCGUCGCACCUACCGAUUGAAUGGUCCGGUGAAGCCUCGGGAUUGUGGCCAGUUCACUUUAUUGGGAGUUGGCUGUGAGAACUUGUCUAAACCUUAUCAUUUAGAGGAAGGUGAAGGCGUAACA
RNAcentral lists this ribosomal RNA (325 nucleotides) under uncultured eukaryote. RNAcentral describes it as "partial 18S ribosomal RNA". It matches the Rfam family "Eukaryotic small subunit ribosomal RNA", at positions 1470 to 1796 of the family's 1831-position model. The record is from RNAcentral.